Molecule: ribosomal RNA, 487 nt
Filed under: uncultured bacterium
Lineage: Bacteria
Description: partial 16S ribosomal RNA
Rfam family: Bacterial small subunit ribosomal RNA
Source: RNAcentral
GAUGAACGCUAGCGAUAGGCUUAACACAUGCAAGUCGAGGGGCAGCACAAGGUAGCUUGCUCUCUGGGUGGCGACCGGCGCACGGGUGCGUAACGCGUAUGCAACUUGCCCUAUACAGGAGGAUAACCCGUCGAAAGACGGACUAAUACUGCGUAUGCUCACAACUUCGCAUCAAGCGGUUAGGAAAGAAAUCCGGUAUAGGAUAGGCAUGCGUCCCAUUAGCUUGUUGGUGAGGUAACGGCUCACCAAGGCAACGAUGGGUAGGGGAACUGAGAGGUUUAUCCCCCACACUGGUACUGAGACACGGACCAGACUCCUACGGGAGGCAGCAGUGAGGAAUAUGGGUCAAUGGGCGCGAGCCUGAACCAGCCAAGUCGCGUGAAGGAUGACUGUCUUAUGGAUUGUAAACUUCUUUUAUACGGGAAUAACAAGAGUCACGUGUGACUCCCUGCAUGUACCGUAUGAAUAAGCAUCGGCUAACUCCGUG